AAACCAACCGGGAUUGCCUUAGUAACGGCGAGUGAAGCGGCAAAAGCUCAAAUUUGAAAUCUGGUACCUUCGGUGCCCGAGUUGUAAUUUGGAGAGGGCAACUUUGGGGCCGUUCCUUGUCUAUGUUCCUUGGAACAGGACGUCAUAGAGGGUGAGAAUCCCGUGUGGCGAGGAGUGCGGUUCUUUGUAAAGUGCCUUCGAAGAGUCGAGUUGUUUGGGAAUGCAGCUCUAAGUGGGUGGUAAAUUCCAUCUAAAGCUAAAUAUUGGCGAGAGACCGAUAGCGAACAAGUACAGUGAUGGAAAGAUGAAAAGAACUUUGAAAAGAGAGUGAAAAAGUACGUGAAAUUGUUGAAAGGGAAGGGCAUUUGAUCAGACAUGGUGUUUUGUGCCCUCUGCUCCUUGUGGGUAGGGGAAUCUCGCAUUUCACUGGGCCAGCAUCAGUUUUGGUGGCAGGAUAAAUCCAUAGGAAUGUAGCUUGCCUCGGUAAGUAUUAUAGCCUGUGGGAAUACUGCCAGCUGGGACUGAGGACUGCGACGUAAGUCAAGGAUGCUGGCAUAAUGGUUAUAUGCCGCCCGUCUUGAAACACGG
This 588-nucleotide ribosomal RNA is filed under the name Saccharomyces cerevisiae (brewer's yeast). Its description in RNAcentral is "eukaryotic LSU rRNA". It matches the Rfam family "Eukaryotic large subunit ribosomal RNA", at positions 62 to 664 of the family's 3401-position model. The record is from RNAcentral. Lineage: Eukaryota; Fungi; Ascomycota; Saccharomycetes; Saccharomycetales; Saccharomycetaceae.